RNAcentral lists this ribosomal RNA (427 nucleotides) under uncultured bacterium. Its description in RNAcentral is "partial 16S ribosomal RNA". It matches the Rfam family "Bacterial small subunit ribosomal RNA", at positions 355 to 774 of the family's 1533-position model. The record is from RNAcentral.
UGGGGAAUAUUGGACAAUGGGGGCAACCCUGAUCCAGCCAUGCCGCGUGUGUGAAGAAGGCCUUUUGGUUGUAAAGCACUUUAAGCAGUGAAGAAGACUCCAUGGUUAAUACCCAUGGACGAUGACAUUAGCUGCAGAAUAAGCACCGGCUAACUCUGUGCCAGCAGCCGCGGUAAUACAGAGGGUGCAAGCGUUAAUCGGAAUUACUGGGCGUAAAGCGAGCGUAGGUGGCUUGAUAAGUAAGAUGUGAAAGCCCCGGGCUUAACCUGGGAACGGCAUCUGAUACUGUUAGGCUAGAGUAGGUGAGAGGAAGGUAGAAUUCCAGGUGUAGCGGUGAAAUGCGUAGAGAUCUGGAGGAAUACCGAUGGCGAAGGCAGCCUUCUGGCAUCAUACUGACACUGAGGUUCGAAAGCGUGGGUAGCAAACA